AGGCGAUGCUCACCGACCGGACGAAGCUCACCAGGAAGCUCCGCGGCAGGGCGACGCCGAGGAGGGCGGUGGCGAGCGACACCACGAUGACGGUCUGCAGCAGCCAGUGGUACUGCCCCUCCAUGCCCAUGUGGUCGGCGGAGUGGAGGUGGAACAUGAGCAGCUGCUGCCCGAAUGCGGCGGCGGCGAGGAGCAUGGUCAUCUCGUCGCGGAGCCUCGGCUUGAUGCGGUCAAAGACGAUGGCGAAGGAGGCGUAGAUGAGGAGGGCGAGGGAGAUGGAGGCGUGCUCGAAGUUGUGCAGGUGGUUGGAGGGGAUGGUGCCGUCGUCGUCGAAGGGGUUGUGCUUCUCCGGGCCGAUGACCAGCUCCAUGGAGAUGGAAGCCAGGCUGCCAAAGAUGAU
Molecule: long non-coding RNA, 400 nt
Filed under: Musa acuminata (dwarf banana)
Lineage: Eukaryota; Viridiplantae; Streptophyta; Magnoliopsida; Zingiberales; Musaceae
Description: long non-coding RNA (MACU_LNC004098)
Source: RNAcentral